RNAcentral lists this ribosomal RNA (443 nucleotides) under uncultured bacterium. Its description in RNAcentral is "partial 16S ribosomal RNA". It matches the Rfam family "Bacterial small subunit ribosomal RNA", at positions 338 to 795 of the family's 1533-position model. The record is from RNAcentral.
CCUACGGGGUGCAGCAGUGGGGAAUAUUGGGCAAUGGGCGCAAGCCUGACCCAGCAACGCCGCGUGAAGGAAGAAGGCUUUCGGGUUGUAAACUUCUUUUCUCAGGGACGAAGCAAGUGACGGUACCUGAGGAAUAAGCCACGGCUAACUACGUGCCAGCAGCCGCGGUAAUACGUAGGUGGCAAGCGUUAUCCGGAUUUACUGGGUGUAAAGGGCGUGUAGGCGGGACUGCAAGUCAGAUGUGAAAACCAUGGGCUCAACCUAUGGCCUGCAUUUGAAACUGUAGUUCUUGAGUGCUGGAGAGGCAGACGGAAUUCCGAGUGUAGCGGUGAAAUGCGUAGAUAUUAGGAGGAACACCAGUGGCGAAGGCGGUCUGCUGGACAGCAACUGACGCUGAGGCGCGAAAGCGUGGGGAGCAAACAGGAUUAGAUACCCAUGUAGUC